RNAcentral lists this transfer RNA (82 nucleotides) under uncultured Nocardioides sp. Its description in RNAcentral is "tRNA-Pro". Lineage: Bacteria; Bacillati; Actinomycetota; Actinomycetes; Propionibacteriales; Nocardioidaceae. The record is from RNAcentral.
CCCGGCGGGGCGGCUUCGUCAGGCGGCGGGCGGCUCGGGUCGGCCCGGGCGCGGCGACCGGCGCGGCACCAGUCACCGGGCC